Molecule: long non-coding RNA, 260 nt
Filed under: Carica papaya (papaya)
Lineage: Eukaryota; Viridiplantae; Streptophyta; Magnoliopsida; Brassicales; Caricaceae
Description: long non-coding RNA (CPAP_LNC009675)
Source: RNAcentral
AUCGCAAGCUUAUUGUUUUUAUUCAACUCAACUUUCACUUAGCAUACACUUCUUUUUGUUGGAUCAAUGUCUAAUAGGUUUGGCCAUGUUUUAGUAAUAUUUGUCUAAUCCAAUGUAUUUGAUCCUGAAAGUUUAAGAGUAUCAUUACACUUUGUUCAGGGAAACUACUUGAGAGAUACAGUGUGUUCUUAAUCCUCAACUAUGGAUAAUAAUUCUUCUCCUCAGGUUUUUAACUUAUUCCCUAAUAGGUUAGUCUUUAC